GUGCCAGUUGCUCAGAUAGGAGCAUCGGUUUUAGAAACCGAAGGUGGGGUGCAAUUCCUCCCUGGUAGA
This 69-nucleotide transfer RNA is filed under the name Candidatus Poribacteria bacterium. Its description in RNAcentral is "tRNA-Leu". It matches the Rfam family "tRNA". From Rfam's summary of the family: Transfer RNA (tRNA) molecules are approximately 80 nucleotides in length. Their secondary structure includes four short double-helical elements and three loops (D, anti-codon, and T loops). Lineage: Bacteria; Candidatus Poribacteria. The record is from RNAcentral.